Molecule: long non-coding RNA, 735 nt
Organism: Neofelis nebulosa (Clouded leopard)
Lineage: Eukaryota; Metazoa; Chordata; Mammalia; Carnivora; Felidae
Exons: 2
Source: RefSeq, a predicted model, not a curated record
AUUAUCUUUACGUACACAUUGCUGCCUGAACUGUUUCAUGAUUUCCUUCAGGUGGACUGCUAGAAGGAGAAUUCCUGGACCGAAGAGUAGAAAUCUUUCCCAGACCUUGAAGCAUGUGGCCGCAUGGCUUCCGUGAAGAGCUGGAACAGUGUACAUAGAGCAUUUUAAAGCCGAGACCCUUCCUGGAGCAAAGAAGGAUUUACCAGCUCUAGAGAGAAUCACUUCUGAUAAGAUUUGGAUCAGACUUUCAUGUUCUGUAAAUCAGACUGAUUUUAGGCUUCUCCCACACUCUGUGUGACUUCACCUCUAUUCUUCUGCAGUAAUUUUAGGAGCAGCACUGGGGGAGAUUCCAGACCGUCUCCAUGGUGCUCAGAGCAGAUAGAAAAGGGGAUUCUGUCUACACAUGGGACAGAGACGCCAAGAGCUCCAAAAUUCACCUGAAGACUUGAUUGCAUCAUUAAUAUUGAGUGGACCGCAAGCGCGUGCCAGAGACAGUGUUCCCAGCUGGGCCACAGCAUCCCGCCCCAAAGGAAAAGACAAAGAAAAAGAAGAAACAGUAAUUCUGGAGCUCUGCUGCCUCUGCGUUUGGACUCUAAUUCAAGCUGCUACAUAUCGUGGCUUUGCAAUUCCCAGACUUGAAAAGUUAGUUCCACAAAGUGAAACUGCAUGGCAUAAAACAUGCCUUAGGUGAUGGAAUAAACCUUUGGCUCAAAAAUUCUGGGGCACAGAAAUAUU